ACGAACAUCGAGAUUUACAAUCAUCCGUCCCGGCAGCUGGCCAAGACCAUCAAUCUCCGACGGCGGCUAGACCGCUGCGUGGAUCAAAUUUAUGUGGCGGGCCGUGUUUACUGAGAGCCGGCAUUUAAACUCCUGUAACCGAACUGAACCGACGUAGAGCUGCUUUUGACGGAUUGGGUUUAUGGCUCGAAUCGGACCGAAAGAUUGUUCCUUAAUAGAUUCUGUUUGGAAUGUGUUGUUGGUAAAAUGUAACUGGUUUUGGUGGGCUUUGAUCUCUGAAGCGAUAGCCAGUCUUGUUACUAACCUUACCCAAAUGGACAGUGUAUCUUAUCUUUAUCGCAAAAUUGAUUGGUCACUUGACUGCUCUAUCCCCUAUUUAAUUUCCAGUAACAAAGCACAAAUCUUGACAACCAAUUAUUUUUCGAGUAUUUGUCAUGUAUUUGAGUGGCCAAUGGAGCCAAGAAUUAGAUGGACUUACCCGA
Drosophila ananassae is the source of this 482-nucleotide long non-coding RNA. RefSeq lists it as uncharacterized. The transcript is spliced from 3 exons. The record is from RefSeq and is a predicted model, not a curated record. NCBI's taxonomy places the organism in Eukaryota, Metazoa, Arthropoda, Insecta, Diptera, Drosophilidae.